GCCGGGUGUGGUGGCGGGCGCCUGUAGUCCCAGCUACUCGGGAGGCUGAGGCAGGAGAAUCGCUUGAACCCAGGAGGCAGGGUUUGCAGUGAGCCAAGAUCUUGCCACUGCACUCCAGCCUGGGCGACAGAGCGUGACUCUGUCUCAA
Molecule: non-coding RNA, 148 nt
Filed under: Chlorocebus sabaeus (green monkey)
Lineage: Eukaryota; Metazoa; Chordata; Mammalia; Primates; Cercopithecidae
Source: Rfam by way of RNAcentral